This 495-nucleotide ribosomal RNA is filed under the name uncultured bacterium. RNAcentral's name for it is "partial 16S ribosomal RNA". It matches the Rfam family "Bacterial small subunit ribosomal RNA", at positions 28 to 507 of the family's 1533-position model. The record is from RNAcentral.
GACGAACGCUGGCGGCGUGCCUAAUACAUGCAAGUAGAACGCUGAAGGAGGAGCUUGCUUCUCUGGAUGAGUUGCGAACGGGUGAGUAACGCGUAGGUAACCUGCCUGGUAGCGGGGGAUAACUAUUGGAAACGAUAGCUAAUACCGCAUAAGAGUAGAUGUUGCAUGACAUUUGCUUAAAAGGUGCAAUUGCAUCACUACCAGAUGGACCUGCGUUGUAUUAGCUAGUUGGUGGGGUAACGGCUCACCAAGGCGACGAUACAUAGCCGACCUGAGAGGGUGAUCGGCCACACUGGGACUGAGACACGGCCCAGACUCCUACGGGAGGCAGCAGUAGGGAAUCUUCGGCAAUAGACGGAAGUCUGACCGAGCAACGCCGCGUGAGUGAAGAAGGUUUUCGGAUCGUAAAGCUCUGUUGUAAGAGAAGAACGAGUGUGAGAGUGGAAAGUUCACACUGUGACGGUAUCUUACCAGAGAGGGACGGCUAACUACGUG